This 1222-nucleotide long non-coding RNA is filed under the name Bos mutus (wild yak). RNAcentral's name for it is "lncRNA (ENSBMUG00000016338.1)". The record is from RNAcentral. Lineage: Eukaryota; Metazoa; Chordata; Mammalia; Artiodactyla; Bovidae.
GAAGAUAUAAGUGGUAAAAGCAGGAUGCAAACCAGCAUUCCUAACCUAAAGUUACUGCACUGAAACACUUAAGAGAGAGGUCAAGAUCAACUUGAAUCAGUAGCCAAAAAGGAAGAAACUUGGGAACAUUCUUGAAAUGACAUCGAUUUCUCUCUGCUGGGAGUUAGUGAGGUGAAGUGGGAGAAGAACUUGGGCAGAGUUCUAACAACUGAACAGCUACCCCAGGAAAAGAGAAAGACAACAGUAAUCGACUUAAGAAGCUCUACUUAGAGAUCAAAGAGGUGGACUACACUAAUAAGCAGGAGGAGAGGAGAUAGGAAAUGAAUAAUUAAGAUGGAUUUAUCAGAAACAAGGAGAUCAUAUUGAAAUGUAUUCCUGGAGCACCGGGGCUUCACUGACCUCUCUGCCGUGGCUGGAGUCAAUGGUGAUUUCGCACCACAGCACACCAAGAUGGAAAGUAAACACCUGGGAACUUUUCAGCUCAACAUAUUGCGGCCCUGAGACUGCCAAGAUUCUUCACUGUGAAAGUUCUCCAAGGAUUAGCCUAUUCCUGUUCUUCCUGUUCCACACAUAAAUAUUAAUUACCCCUAAAUACAGCCCAUUUACUAGCAUCAGUCAUGAAAAAUUUAAAAUGCCAAGCGAGUGUGAGAGAAACUUGACUGUAAAUAAUUGUUACAUUGUUCUGUUUGUUCUCAGCAUUGGUAGUUAGGAGUUUGUGAGAAAGGGGAAGCUGUGAGCAUGCAUGGCCUGUGGAUGAUAAUUACAAAAUGCCAGAAGGAGAGUCUUGAAUUUUUUAAAGAGGCUUUAAUGACUCCCAGGACAUUGAGGCAGAGCAGCAUGGAUCUUGUUGAGGAAAAAAAAAGUCAGUGUUACAGAAAAUUCAUUGCCUGGUUAGAAUGCAGAGAGGGGAUGGAUACUAAACAUUCCAUCUGAACUGUUCAGGUGGCCAAUGGGGAAUUUAAUUUUAUGAAAUGUGGUUUUGUCAUCUUUCAACCUGGCAGAAUGGUAACUCAAAGGGUGGAGGAGAAAUGGAGGUGCAGAAUUAUAUUAUUUAAAUGGUAUUUGUAAAGACCACUGAGAUAUUUCAUCCUUCUUUCUCUGAGGAAAAAGGUACAAAAAUGAUGUCCUAAAGGCAUAUGAGAUCAGUUGGAAUAAGUUAAGUGGCAAAGACAAUAAUAAUGUAACAGAGAAAUAUAACCUGUAUUAUUUAAAUUAUUCAAAG